GACUGAGUUCGGGAGAUUUUGUGGCAAUGGGUAAUGUCAUGGCAUUCAAUUCGAACACUUUCUGAAGACAGCAGUGGCUCUUCUCUUUUCUUGCUAAUGGGGAAGAAGA
Rhodamnia argentea is the source of this 109-nucleotide long non-coding RNA. RefSeq lists it as uncharacterized. NCBI's taxonomy places the organism in Eukaryota, Viridiplantae, Streptophyta, Magnoliopsida, Myrtales, Myrtaceae. The record is from RefSeq and is a predicted model, not a curated record. The transcript has 3 exons.